AUGUUUGACGUCAGCCUCAGGGGAGGUUUCCUGCAGCUGUCCAAAUGGUCAGAUCCAACCCAGCUGCUAUACCUGUUCAAACUACUGCGCACAUGGACAGUGUUCAGUAGACAAUCGCACACUGCUGCCACAGUGCACGUGUGCUGUUGGAUGGAGGG
Maylandia zebra (zebra mbuna) is the source of this 158-nucleotide non-coding RNA. The record is from RefSeq and is a predicted model, not a curated record. Lineage: Eukaryota; Metazoa; Chordata; Actinopteri; Cichliformes; Cichlidae.